GAGGAGAAAGAGAACUAGAGACAGAGAGAGGCAGACGGGGGGGGGGGGGCGGGGGGGAAAGACUUUCUUUUUCUUUCUAGAGGAAUUCUGCCCAGACUCUGCAGCAGUUGGUAGCAGGCAAGCUUUCUCCUGGGUGUCUCCUUGAAAAGUUGCAAAAUUGCUCUUCACCUGUAAGAACAUGCUCUUUAUCUUCCAGUCUCUUCUUGUCAAUUUGGAAAUUGCAGACAGCCCGGCUCAGACUUCCCUGUGUGUAUAUUAGAAGUCUUCCCGGUGCCAGGAAUCAACAAAGAGUUGAGUAACGAAGAACUAAUUUAAUCAGCUAAUUUGGAGAAACUAAGUCUUACAACUAUUAUUUAGUUCAUCAAAACAUAUAAAUCUCAAUGAGAACAA
RNAcentral lists this long non-coding RNA (390 nucleotides) under Pongo abelii (Sumatran orangutan). RNAcentral's name for it is "lincRNA". Lineage: Eukaryota; Metazoa; Chordata; Mammalia; Primates; Hominidae. The record is from RNAcentral.